Molecule: ribosomal RNA, 473 nt
Filed under: uncultured bacterium
Lineage: Bacteria
Description: bacterial SSU rRNA
Rfam family: Bacterial small subunit ribosomal RNA
Source: RNAcentral
ACUCCUACGGGAGGCAGCAGUAGGGAAUCUUCCACAAUGGGCGCAAGCCUGAUGGAGCAACACCGCGUGAGUGAAGAAGGGUUUCGGCUCGUAAAGCUCUGUUGUUAAAGAAGAACACGUAUGAGAGUAACUGUUCAUACGUUGACGGUAUUUAACCAGAAAGUCACGGCUAACUACGUGCCAGCAGCCGCGGUAAUACGUAGGUGGCAAGCGUUAUCCGGAUUUAUUGGGCGUAAAGAGAGUGCAGGCGGUUUUCUAAGUCUGAUGUGAAAGCCUUCGGCUUAACCGGAGAAGUGCAUCGGAAACUGGAUAACUUGAGUGCAGAAGUGGGUAGUGGAACUCCAUGUGUAGCGGUGGAAUGCGUAGAUAUAUGGAAGAACACCAGUGGCGAAGGCGGCUACCUGGUCUGCAACUGACGCUGAGACUCGAAAGCAUGGGUAGCGAACAGGAUUAGAUACCCUGGUAGGAUAGCG